RNAcentral lists this small RNA (17 nucleotides) under Arabidopsis thaliana (thale cress). Its description in RNAcentral is "ATSL134670". The record is from RNAcentral. Lineage: Eukaryota; Viridiplantae; Streptophyta; Magnoliopsida; Brassicales; Brassicaceae.
AGGCAGAUGAUGAUUAG